CUACGGGUCGCAGCAGUGAGGAAUAUUGCACAAUGGGGGGAACCCUGAUGCAGCAACGCCGCGUGGAGGAUGACGCAUUUCGGUGUGUAAACUCCUCUUAUAUGUCAAGAAAAUGACGGUAGCAUAUGAAUAAGCACCGGCUAACUCCGUGCCAGCAGCCGCGGUAAUACGGAGGGUGCAAGCGUUACUCGGAAUCACUGGGCGUAAGGGACGCGUAGGCGGGUUGGAAAGUCAGGUGUGAAAUCCUACAGCUUAACUGUAGAACUGCACUUGAAACUUCUAAUCUAGAGUAUGGGAGGGGGAGAUGGAAUUAGUGGUGUAGGGGUAAAAUCCGUAGAUAUCACUAAGAAUACCUAAAGCGAAGGCGAUCUCCUGGAACAUUACUGACGCUAAGGCGUGAAAGCGUGGGGAGCAAACAGGAUUAGAUACCCCUGUAGUC
This 439-nucleotide ribosomal RNA is filed under the name uncultured bacterium. RNAcentral's name for it is "partial 16S ribosomal RNA". It matches the Rfam family "Bacterial small subunit ribosomal RNA", at positions 339 to 795 of the family's 1533-position model. The record is from RNAcentral.